UCGCCUGUUUAUCAAAAACAUGGCUGAGAAUUACUCUCAGUCAAAUCUGCCCAGUGAAAAUUUAACGGCCGCAGUAUCCUAACUGUGCUAAGGUAGCAUAAUCACUAGGUCUUUAAUUGAGAUCUCGUAUGAACGAUUCGUCGAAAGAUCUACUGUCUCGUAAAUAUCUCAAACUUACUACGAAAGUCAAAAAGCUUUCUCCUCCUCAAAGGACGACAAGACCCUGCAAAACUUUACUCCUUCGAGAACUGUCCAAGACUACCUUCACCCUCCCGCGAGUUUUACUGGGGCGGUAAUAAUCUCUACCAACAAUUAUCACCCUAACACGUUGAGUGACUUUUACAAACUUCUAAACCAAGAACAAGUUACUUCAGGGAUAACAGCGCAAUAAAUCUUUAGAGCCCUUAUCGACAGGUUUGAUUACGACCUCGAUGUUGAAUUGAAGAUCCUCGUCAGAGCAGACACUGCCGCAGGGAGUCUGUUCGACUUUUAAACCUUCACAUGAUCUGAGUUCAAACCGGA
This 522-nucleotide ribosomal RNA is filed under the name Sphaeromopsis sp. RW04.266.1185. RNAcentral describes it as "partial 16S ribosomal RNA". It matches the Rfam family "Bacterial large subunit ribosomal RNA", at positions 1796 to 2620 of the family's 2925-position model. Lineage: Eukaryota; Metazoa; Arthropoda; Malacostraca; Isopoda; Sphaeromatidae. The record is from RNAcentral. RNAcentral also lists the same sequence under 1 other name.